GUGAUGCAGCUACAUCAUUAAUUUUUUACACGAAGCCACAUUGUGAAGAGAGAAAUAUAAAAAAAUAAACUCAGAUUAAGACAAUUUCUCUCAUUGCUGCAGCUGCGAGCAGCAAGGUAGCAAACCUAAAGCUUACGGCUGGCAAAAUUAACAUUUUAGUUUGUGGAAUGCAUUUUGGGUAAGAGUAUGGACCCUAAAUGCAGUACGCUUGACUCAAGUGCAAAGGGCUCUUCAUUCAAAACAGACGUGAAUAACAAGCGGUAAUCGUUAUUCAAUUACUGCGUCUCCUGGCCAAACAGUGUUACUGAUGCUAUAUGAAAUUCUUUUGUACUUGACUUACGGUAAUUAAAAGUAUAUAUGAUGAUUUAUUGAUGACUCAACUGUUUUUUCUGGGAUGGUAAUGUCCAAGUUGUGUUUUGGCCAUUUUUACCAUGGUUUACAGUCCUGGUGCGGUUGCUGCUGUGCCUCGUUCGCUUUUACUGUAGUUCACAGAAAGAUUCCUUCCCGAUCACUGAGCACAUACCAUCGAGACUAUUUAAUGAAGGAAAAUUCGCAACGUUUUUUUUUCUCUCAUGUGAUUACUUCGAUGCACAGCUACUGUCACUGAGUGUAUGUUAUACCUCGUCUAUUGCCUUGUGUUUGUAGUUCGUGCAGUCAGAAAAUCUCUCCAUAGAUUCAGUGAAUACACUCAUUAACUAACAACCAGCAUAUAUACGCUCAAAAAGUAAACUUUUUGACUACUCAAUUAAUUCGUCUAAUGGGAAUGUUUAUAAAAAAAAACGUCGCGUUUCACCUUCACAAGAAUGUUAAAUUUAUUAACACAGUUUUAUUGUAUUAGUUUUGAGACACUCUUUUCUAACACAAAUCUUCCACGGGCCUUCAUUCUGUUAUUUGCUUUCUGAUAUUUCUGUUUCUGAGUGGGGUUUCUUAGUGGGUUUUUGGUUUCUGCCGUGAUUCCGAUUUUUGAUGCUUUUGUAGCCAUGUGCCGUUUUUGGCUUAGUCUUGCAUCAUUUUACUCUGACAUUUUCAUUUGUUUUAAUACUCGUUACGUUUAUUUGGUAUGUACUAUUAUACAGAGUUAAAGACUCAAGCUCUGAACCGAGUUCAAAUUUGUGGUCAGACUUCAGCUUUGACUUGAUUUGUGACUAAAAAUAGGCACGCAUAGCGUACAUGUGGUUAGCUUUUCAAAUUUGUGGUCAUUGCACAAAUUGAACCAGGAUUGAUCCUCAGAUCAUGGUACAUAUAAUAUUAAAGAGUUUCAACAUCAUUAGCAUCAAGCUUUAAAAUAAAAAUGUUUGGGAUUUUUUAAAA
Molecule: long non-coding RNA, 1311 nt
Organism: Xenia sp. Carnegie-2017
Lineage: Eukaryota; Metazoa; Cnidaria; Anthozoa; Malacalcyonacea; Xeniidae
Exons: 2
Source: RefSeq, a predicted model, not a curated record